AUGACAACUGCCCCCUGCGGCCAGGCGUUGGUGCUUUCUUGGGGACCCCGGGAGUGGCAGAGGCAGGGCGCGGCCCUGUGCUGCGAUCACCUCCCCCGCAUCUGAAUGGCUGAGGCCUGGCCUCUGGGGCUGUGGGGAAGCAGUGGGGACAGGCCCCGCUGAGAGGAAGCCUGUGCGGGUGGGGCAUUCGCUGCGGGGUCCUCAGUCACUGUCUCCUCUGUUCCCUGAUGCGGGAAGGACACCUAGGGCUCUGAAGUGUGGAAGAGAGCGCUGGACUGGCUGAAGACUGGAACUAGAGAGAAGAAGGAGUCGUAUAUGGAAACAAACAAGUUCCUUCCUUAACCUCCAACUUCCUCAAAGAGAGCCAAUAAUAGCAGCAGGAAAGGGUCUCCAUCCUUGCUUUCUGAUUUAUAGAAUGGGGUCAGGCUCUUACCCUAUUCUGUGUGACUCAGGCAAUUAGAAAUACAACACCUGGCUCCUCAGCAUGGACAUUCUUACCAGGCUAUGACCAAGACAUCAGGGCCGCUAAAUCCUCAAACCCAUCUAUUGCACAGAAGAAUUUUAAAACCAGAUCCAAAUCAAACUCCAGUUGCAACGUAGUGACAAUAAGGAUGGACAUGCCAGGAAAGGACAAUAAAGAAGAUGCUUCCAUUCUCUGCAGGCUUCUGGAAGAAAGUACAAUGACAGAAACAUUCACAGGACCUCAGCAGCCCCUCCAUUUCCUAUUACCAACCCCCAGCCCCCCACCCCGCCCCAAUACUGAAACUGCACAGAAAGCAACAAACAAGUCUUUUCAAUGUUACAUUUCAUUCAAUUCAAAUAGAUCUGUAAUCUCACAGUGAUGAGAGGAAAGAGUCAGGCCUUUAAUAAUUAUAAUAAAAAAAAUAAAAAAAGCUUACAAACAGCAAUGCAACAUUUCCUCCCCCUCAGAGUGAUGGAUUAACAGCUGGUAGAGGAUGCAAUGACUCAGAAUUAAAAAAUAAAAAUGAAACCAAAAAACAAGCCAACUCCAGGAACGACCCACACUGUCAAAGACUUUCCAUACAUAAUUGGAACAAGCAGUCAAAUGUCAACCACUUGUGGAGAACACCAAGGACUUCCUUGGUUUUGGAUGGCGUUUUUGUUUUUGAAGGUAAAAUAAAAUAAGACACAAAUAAAA
Molecule: long non-coding RNA, 1159 nt
Organism: Pan troglodytes (chimpanzee)
Lineage: Eukaryota; Metazoa; Chordata; Mammalia; Primates; Hominidae
Exons: 2
Source: RefSeq, a predicted model, not a curated record